GAUGAACGCUGACAGAAUGCUUAACACAUGCAAGUCGAUGGGGAAGUGGUGCUUGCACCAUGGCAACCAUGGCGGACGGGUGAGUAACGCGUAAGGGACUUACCUGCAGGACUGGGAUAACAGGGGGAAACUCCUGACAAGACCGGAUAAUGUCAUGGAGCUGCAUGGCUUUAUGAUGAAAGGAGACGCCUGCGGAGAGCCUUGCGUCCUAUUAGCUAGUUGGUGAGGUAAUGGCUCACCAAGGCGAAGAUAGGUAGCCGGCCUGAGAGGGUGGACGGCCACAAGGGGACUGGGAGACGGCCCUUACUCCUACGGGGGGCAGCGGUGGGGAAUAUUGGAAAAAGGGGGCAACCCUGAUCCAGCAAUUCGGUGUGCAAGAAGAAGUUUUUCGGAUUGAAAAGUGCUUUCAGCAGGGAAGAAGUAAGUGACGGUACCUGCAGAAGAAGCGACGGCUAAAUACGUG
RNAcentral lists this ribosomal RNA (463 nucleotides) under uncultured bacterium. Its description in RNAcentral is "partial 16S ribosomal RNA". It matches the Rfam family "Bacterial small subunit ribosomal RNA", at positions 28 to 507 of the family's 1533-position model. The record is from RNAcentral.